GGAGAUUAUGUCAAUGGACAUAUCCCAAACCAGACCACGGACCCUACAGCACAACAGACAGCAGAGACAACAGACAACGAGGAGGAGGGAGAUUAUGUCAAUGCAAACAUCACAAACCAGACCAUGGACCCUACCGCACAACAGACAGCAGAGACAACAGAGGAUGAGGAAGAAGAGUAUGUGUAUGAAAACGACUCCAACAUGGCCCCUUCUGCAAAAGACAACAUUACAUAAAUACAGCAAGACCUGAAUGAAGAACCACCUGAACACAACAUAACAUAAAUACAGCAAGACCAGAAUGAAGAACCACCUGAACACAACAAAACCUGAACUCAACAAGACACUGCUUGUGCGUGUGUAGUGCUGUG
Molecule: long non-coding RNA, 368 nt
Organism: Esox lucius (northern pike)
Lineage: Eukaryota; Metazoa; Chordata; Actinopteri; Esociformes; Esocidae
Source: Ensembl